Portunus trituberculatus (swimming crab) is the source of this 939-nucleotide long non-coding RNA. RefSeq lists it as uncharacterized. The transcript is spliced from 2 exons. The record is from RefSeq and is a predicted model, not a curated record. NCBI's taxonomy places the organism in Eukaryota, Metazoa, Arthropoda, Malacostraca, Decapoda, Portunidae.
GAGGCUGACAGAGGCUGGGCUGUGGGACGAGUGGCUUGGGCGGGAACUUGCCAACGCCACGGAAUGCCUGAAGUCACCCUCAGCUGACCGAGGCAGUGGUGUGAAGCCCCUCGGCCUGGUCAACAUGCUGGGGGUAAUGGUAUUGCUGGCUGCUGGUUACCUCGUCUCAGUGUUGGCAUUCGCUGAAGAGAAGCUGCAUCUUGGCUUCUCGUCAUUUUAAGGAAGAGACAGCCAGUGAUCGACCCGUCACCCAAACACUCGGCCACUUACUCCGCCUCGCCGCAUCCUCAGCCUCGUUCCUUCACGGCAAUGCAUCAAAAGGAAACGCAAAACAACACAAAGAGAUUAGAUGAAAUUGCAGCAUAGUUAGUCUUCACCUCCUCAUCAAUCUCGCCUCUUCACACCAACAAAUUAAAAGGAAACACAAAGGAAUUAUAUUAAAGUUGUGUAGCAUAGUAGUUAGUCUUCACCUCCUCCUGUCUCGUCCCUCCACAUCAAUGAAAGGGAUACACAAAGGAACACAAACAAAUUAUAUUAAAGCUGCAGCAAAGUUAGUCUUCAUGAGGUUAUUUAAGGUGAGCUACAGCGUCUAAUUCAAAAUCCAUGUAGGUUACUAAAGAAAAAAGGUUCCUCCCACCCAUCAAUUAGACCUUAUGUUAGGGUUUUGAUCUCCAAGUCUUAAUUCAACAUAUAUUUUAAAUUCAUGUUGUUUUGGAACGAUAUGAGUAUUCGAUUCGUGUUUUCUGUUGUGAUAUUAAUCUGCGUUUUGUAAUACGAUACCAGUCAAGACCAAAUGGAAUUGUAAUAUCCAGUCUGUUAUUAUAUGUCUAUUUUUUUCUUUUUAUUUCUUUUAUCUCACGCAAUAAAAGUACAUCUAUCAAGUUUUGUUCAGAAACUGUAAUGUUAUAAGCAUAUGUAUUAAUUAAAGUCAUUACAAGA